GGCAGGGCUGGCCUUGGGGAGACAGACUGGUGUAGCCCAGCCAGCACAGCGCUGAGCUCAGCAAGGGCUAUGUUAUAAUCCAGUUCUCAGACUGGCCACGACUUCAAAUGCAAGGCAGGGCUGACAGAAGCAGAGGGCGACUCCAGGAGCCUGGUGGGCCAAGGCUGCGGGCAGCUGGGAAUGAAUGGGGCCCUGCCCUCCCCCCGCUCCAAGGCCAGCGGUGUGCGGGAGCGGCGCACGGUCCGUGCUUGGCCGCCCCCAGGAGCGGCCUUGAACGAAAUGCUGCGACCAUUCGUGAAUUAACGUUCUGUUAUUACUUGGUGCUUAGCCUGGUGUGCUCCCGUCCUGUUGGGACUCCAGGAGGAACCAUUGGCCCUGCUGGACGGGAGGAAAAACUGAGCACCCAAACUGCAGCCUUGGAGCCUUUGGGGUGGAACUGGAGGAUCACAGCUGAAAAAGAAUUACUGGUUUGAAUUGCUAAUAAUGAUACAGACUAAUGAGCAACAUCAGAAAUGAUGGCAUGUGUAAUCAGUGCUGCUUGAUAGCAAACGUGCAGCAGGUCUGCAGGAGCUCCUGGUGCACGAGGUGAGGAGAAGCAGAGCAUCUUGUGUUUUGGAGAGGCAGAACCCAACCCAGAGAGCUGGCUCUGUCUCUGGGGUAAGAACUUUAUAAACAAUGAUGAAAAGGAUAAACCUAGACAGACAUCAGCUCUGGGUAGUAGGAGGGAACAGGGCCAGCCAGUAUGAGGGGAAAUUGCCUCGGUAUUCUCCUGAGCACCUGCAGGAAGCCCAUCUGUCUCUGGCUGUUAGAGGUUUUGUCCUAGAGCUGCACCCUGGCAGCCCCCGCUCAGGAUCAGGCCCUGGCCGGGUGGCCGGAGCCCCACACUCGCUCUGCCCACCUGCCUGUUCCUCCUGCCCAAGCAGCUCUGCUCCCAUCCGCUGCACUCUGUGCACAAAGAGGACCCUGAAUUUUUGCACAGGUGUGUGGCAGAGGGGAAGAAUGUCCACAGAAUGUGGAUCUGCACCUUGUACCUGCCUUAUAAAUGGGUAAAUCACAAACAAAGUACACGGUACUAAAGAACUGCUAUCUUGGCUUUAAAAGGCAGUGGUUGCAUCUUGUUUCUUUUGGUUGGAAACCCUUUUUCUUUUCUCAUCCCUGUGAUAUGCCCCGAGCAGCCAAGAAGAGGCAGCAGUUAGAAACAUUUCCUGCUUUCCUUAUUUAGGCUAUUUUAUGUGGUUCAAAUAAGGUGUCCUCUUUCAAACUGACAAAGGGAAAGAUGUAUCAGUUCACGAACUGCUGCUAUCUGAGCAAGGUGGGAGAUAGAAAAUCACCACCAUUACAAUCAUUACUGCAAAUCAUGUGCAAUCAGCCCGGUAACAGAAAGCAGAUGAACAUCCUGCAGAAACCUACAGGACAGGAGCUGGUGCUGAGCUAUGGGAGCCACAAGCCAGGCAACGAUUAAAAUGCUUUUAAUAUGGG
Long non-coding RNA from Columba livia (rock pigeon), 1479 nucleotides. RefSeq lists it as uncharacterized. The transcript is spliced from 2 exons. The record is from RefSeq and is a predicted model, not a curated record. NCBI's taxonomy places the organism in Eukaryota, Metazoa, Chordata, Aves, Columbiformes, Columbidae.